Lates calcarifer (barramundi perch) is the source of this 785-nucleotide long non-coding RNA. RefSeq lists it as uncharacterized. The transcript has 2 exons. NCBI's taxonomy places the organism in Eukaryota, Metazoa, Chordata, Actinopteri, Centropomidae. The record is from RefSeq and is a predicted model, not a curated record.
UAAGCUCACCUUGCCGGUAAUUAAUUAAAUUGUGGGUCAUUACAGGAUGUGUGUCUGUGCCUGUGAUGUCCACAGAGAACAGAGCAGUGCAAACAUCCAGCUUCCAGUUAAAUUUCUCCUCUUCUGUUGUGUCAUCAUUUUGAGGUAAAGGGGACUUUCAGGGAAGACUGCUUUCUUUCCUUCCUCUCCCUACACUUCCCUUGCUAGCUCAAACCCAUUACUCUGGAAACUAACAGCGUGGGGAAUGCAAUCUCUCCUGCUUUAACAGCAGAAAUGUAAUCUUCUCAGAAACAAGGUGACUGAAAACAGAAGUGGCAGAGAAUCGAGCUGGUUGGAGACUUGGUGCCUGCUCUCUGCCAAACAUCAUUUCAUCUAAACCACUCUGAUACAUUCUCCAGCAUUCUCCGGAUAGGGUGUGAUUCUUCUCUCAGAUGCUGUAUGGUCAUGUUUUCCAAAGCUCACAUAAACUGAGCGCACACUAAAAGUAAUACUGAGCAUUGUUCAUAUAUUAGUUUGUACUCUUUCUAUGUGGUAAAACUGAGAAAAUCUAAAUGACUGCAAUAACCUCUAAAACUGAGACUUUAAGGUCUACAGCCUGUGCAACAUGUUAGACAAAACAUCAUACAAAAGCUUGAAUCAUUACAGUUAAAAAUAAAUCAGUGCAUGACAUGUACAAGACUACUGUGUUGUAUAACACUGUAGAUCUAUCAAAACCAGUGUCAACUGUGAAAAUGCUCUGUAGCAAAAAAUCUGAUCCAGCUCACAAGUACAGAUCUUCAUUGUAA